AUAUAUCCAAGUUGUAUAGUACGUAGUAGUGACUGGUGAAGAGAGAAUGGUGGGUGCAGUACUGCAGGAGCCUGCGUGGUAAGUAGGAGAAAUGGAGUGCAGUUUGAUUGAAUAUAAUGCUACCUACGGACUACGUGUGCGAAUUUGUACCAACAGAAAGCCCGUGGUAAGUGAAAGUGGGAACCUUCUUCUUUAGAAACAGUCAACAACCACAAUGAAGUCAAGUGUGACAUUAAUGUUAUGUUAUACACUUAUAAUACAAAGUACGCAUGCAUGCAUUCAUUCUACUAUAUUGUAGCGGAUCCUGUAAAUUAUGAUUAUUCGUACAAGUUCUACUUUUAAAAUUAACAAAUUAAGAUUCAUGUUAUAUUUAGAUAUUAUUUUUUAAAAAAAUAAAAUUUUAUAUGAUAAUUUUUACUCUUUAGAAUUUAAUAUAUAUUAAGAAAAUCUAAAUAUUUUCAAUACAAAUUUUAAUAUUUAAAAAAACUAAUAGAAAAUUACUAAAGAUAAUAAUAAUAAUAAUAAUAAUAAUAAUAAUAAUAAAAAGAGUCAGUCCAUGCAUGGUAUCCCACAUAGUCAGGCACUUAAUUCGGAUUAGUUGGCUUUUCUCUGUUGAAUUUGAGUAAUGCUACGCGGACAGGCGAAUGACAGAAAAAUUGGACAGAUUGUAUAUGUAUUUAAAUUACAUUUAAAACAUUAUAUUUUAUAAAAAUUUCUGUUAGAAUAAAUACUAUAUAUUUUUUGAGAGUCACAAAUAAAAAAAAUAAAAUAAAUAAAUAGACCGGUCCAAUUCCCCUGUCCCAUUCCCCUGUCCGGCAAGACUUAUUGUUUAUUAAAACCAUUCCGAUGGAGUAUUUUCCAAUAAGAAUAAGUCUAGCCGGACAGGAUAAAUGGACAGGAUUAUUGGACAAUUUUAUU
Molecule: long non-coding RNA, 918 nt
Filed under: Panax ginseng (ginseng)
Lineage: Eukaryota; Viridiplantae; Streptophyta; Magnoliopsida; Apiales; Araliaceae
Description: long non-coding RNA (PGIN_LNC009771)
Source: RNAcentral